UACAGAGACGGCAAGCGUUGUUCGGAUUCAUUGGGCGUAAAGGGUGCGCAGGCGGCUCGUUAAGUCGGGUGUGAAAUCUCACAGCCUAACUGUGAUAGGUCAUUCGAAACUAGCGGGCUUGAGGACUGGAGAGGAGACUGGAAUGGUCGGUGUAGCGGUGAAAUGCGUAGAGAUCGACCAGAACACCAGUGGCGAAGGCGAGUCUCUGGACAGUUCCUGACGCUCAGGCACGAAAGCCAGGGGAGCAAACGGG
This 253-nucleotide ribosomal RNA is filed under the name uncultured bacterium. RNAcentral's name for it is "partial 16S ribosomal RNA". It matches the Rfam family "Bacterial small subunit ribosomal RNA", at positions 524 to 776 of the family's 1533-position model. The record is from RNAcentral.